Long non-coding RNA from Corapipo altera (White-ruffed manakin), 1154 nucleotides. RefSeq lists it as uncharacterized. The transcript has 8 exons. The record is from RefSeq and is a predicted model, not a curated record. Lineage: Eukaryota; Metazoa; Chordata; Aves; Passeriformes; Pipridae.
AUCUUGAAAGUCAGAAAGAAGAUGGAGGUUAAAUCAACUAGUGGUGACAGUGAAUUCUUUUAGCCUGGAAUCACUACCAGCUCCUGUUUCACAUUGUAGUGCCAUUGCUUCCUAUGCCUCUCUCAACAACUCUUUUUUUUUUUUUUUUUCACCAACACUUCUCACAGCUUUCCUUUUAAUACUCUGUUGUUAAUGGCAGCCUGUACAUGUCAGAAGUGCAGGGCAGGAGGGGGAAGAUUCCACUCUUUUGUUGCUGAAAACAACAUUGUAUGACAUGGAAUAACCUUUUGAUCAGUUUGGAUCAGCAAUCCUGGAUAAGUCUCCUACCAAGGUCUUGCUCACAACCAGCCCACGAGCCUUUGGAGCAGCAGUGAGGAGUGGAGAGCCUUCUCCUAGUGGUUGUCACCACACUGGAAGUGAACCUUCCCAACAGUCAUCUCUCAAGGUGAAAGGAUGAGCAAGAGUAGUUCUCAGUGAACUGCUUUGGGUAGCUCUUGAGCAGUAAAUGAUAUAAAAACCCUACCAAAGUUCUGAAGCACGAGUAGAAUUGGACCCAGGAGCUCAAAAGAGUUGAGGCAGGCUCAGACCCUUCAUAUCUUUUAUCCCCUGUGUUGAAUCAGUCACAGUACUGUGAAUAACUCUUCACCCAACUGGUUCCUGGGAGAUUAAUCAGAGUUGUGUCAUUGGGAUGAUCCUUUUCAUCCUUCAUUUGAAAUUGCCGUUCACUGGAAAGGAGUGAAAAAAGUAUCACGAAGGGAGCUUUCUAAAUUUCCAGUGAUAAGUUAAUUGAUGGUAAUUUAAAAAGACUUGCCAAGUGGACAGUUGAAGCAGCAAGCCCAUCAAUAGGGGAAGAUCUCAGCAUGCAUCAUCAUCUACAGUCAUCCUUCUACUUAUCAGUUUUCCAGGGAGCCAGAACAGCAGGACAAGAACAUGUAUAUUGCCCUCCAGGGCUGUCGUAGAAGAUGAUGUCUUAUUAAGCUUUACAAAUAAACAACUGAGGAGUGCAUUAUCAAGUAUAUGAAGAUAAAAAUUCUAAUCGGAAAGGACUGAUCCAAUUUCUUUAGCAGUCAGUAGCAAAAUUCCCACUGACUGCACGAUGGAAAUGAGGGUAGGCUUAAUAAGUGGACAUAAUCUAUUAUUCUGUCAUGAAUAUA